CGAACGCUGGCGGCGUGCUUAACACAUGCAAGUCGAACGGUGAAGCCCAGCUUGCUGGGUGGAUCAGUGGCGAACGGGUGAGUAACACGUGAGUAACCUGCCCCUGACUCUGGGAUAAGCCUUGGAAACGAGGUCUAAUACCGGAUACGUGACGCUCAGGCAUCUGAUGCGUCUGGAAAGAUUUAUCGGUCAGGGAUGGACUCGCGGCCUAUCAGCUUGUUGGUGGGGUAACGGCCCACCAAGGCGACGACGGGUAGCCGGCCUGAGAGGGCGACCGGCCACACUGGGACUGAGACACGGCCCAGACUCCUACGGGAGGCAGCAGUGGGGAAUAUUGCACAAUGGGCGCAAGCCUGAUGCAGCGACGCCGCGUGAGGGAUGAAGGCCUUCGGGUUGUAAACCUCUUUCAGCAGGGAAGAAGCGCAAGUGACGGUACCUGCAGAAGAAGCGCCGGCUAACUACGUGCCAGCAGCCGCGGUAAUACGUAGGGCGCAAGCGUUGUCCGGAAUUAUUGGGCGUAAAGAGCUCGUAGGCGGUUUGUCGCGUCUGCUGUGAAAACUCGAGGCUCAACCUCGGGCUUGCAGUGGGUACGGGCAGACUAGAGUGCGGUAGGGGAGACUGGAAUUCCUGGUGUAGCGGUGGAAUGCGCAGAUAUCAGGAGGAAAACCGAUGGCGAAGGCAGGUCUCUGGGCCGCAACUGACGCUGAGGAGCGAAAGCAUGGGGAGCGAACAGGAUUAGAUACCCUGGUAGUCCAUGCCGUAAACGUUGGGCACUAGGUGUGGGGCUCAUUCCACGAGUUCCGUGCCGCAGCAAACGCAUUAAGUGCCCCGCCUGGGGAGUACGGCCGCAAGGCUAAAACUCAAAGAAAUUGACGGGGG
Molecule: ribosomal RNA, 879 nt
Filed under: uncultured bacterium
Lineage: Bacteria
Description: bacterial SSU rRNA
Rfam family: Bacterial small subunit ribosomal RNA
Source: RNAcentral